GGAGCAUGCAGUUUUAUUUCCAAGCUUUGUUCCUUACAAGCUUCGUUAUUUCUCAGGUCUGUAAAUCAUCUCUUCUUCCAAUGGCAGAACCCUUUCUCCUGACACACGGUCUCAUUGAAAGCUAAUGACCAAACAUCAUGUCGCAUCCUUGGCUCAGCUGUAGCUAGACGUGAACCCUGAUUGCCUUUUGUAGCUAUAUUGGCAGAAAAGGGGGGGGCAUAAUAAUGGUUUCAGAGUGGCACCGUGUCCCUGUUCUCCUCCACAGCUCCAUUGAGAUGCAGUUUUCUUAACUGUCAGCCCUGUAGGGUUAGAUAGCUGGUCCCCAACCCAUCCCUACAAUUACCUGCUUUGCUCUGCACGGAUUUCAACAUCCUGUUCUUAUUUACAAACCCCUUUCCCAAGGGACAAAUGCUGAGGGAUGGAGAGGCUGAAUCAGUGACAGUGUAAGCCAAAUCACUGGGAAGGACCCUCGGAUUGCCCUAGAGGUGUUCAAGAACCAUGGAGAUGUGGCACCGAGGAACUUGGUCAGUGGGCAUGGUGGGGUUGAGUUAGACUUGGUGAUCUCAGAGCUCUUUUCCAACCUUCAUGCUUCCAUAUCAACAUCCAACCCAACUUAAACAACCUUACAAAAGUUAUAUUUCUCCCACAGAUAAGCAGCUUUUGGGAGAGCAGCAAGAGAUUAAACAGAUUCCUAUCUAUCUCUAAGCUUGCUCUAACUUCUGCUUUACUCUUUUCAAAAGGCAAAUUUAGCAUUUCCAUCACAAGGUUCAAAGCAGCAAAUGGAGUCUCCCUUAAAACUGGAUGUACAUAUUGAUACUCAGGAUUGGUCCCAGGUGCCACCAAUUCCUUCCCUGAUUACCUGGUCAAUCUGAUUGGAGCAUGGCUCCUCUCAAGCUAUAUAAACCUGCCAGAGAGCUGGUGCAUCCUUUUGUGGUCAGAGCUUUUCCUGUGUCUUCAUGUCAACUUUUUUCCUGCUUCACCUUACCAUGUGGAAAAAGCUCCGAUGACUUUUUUUUUCCAUCCAUACCUGUGCUGAGAUUGAUCUUUGACAAAUCACAGAGCUGUGCACUAAUUGAGGCUGGAAGGGACCACUUGAGAAGACCUGGAUGAAAGAUAACAGUGGGCUGGGCAGAAUCCAGCCAAGGCAGUCACCAGCUCCGUUUUACAAAUCUUGUUCAUUCUACUGUUGUAUCUUUCUUGGUCAUUUCCAAGAUGUUUCCUGAGCAAUGUACCAAAUCCAUCAAUGAUUUUCCUAAGCCACAGGCCUUGGGGCAGUCAGGUCCCUUUUCUGAGAGGACAGUGGGCCAAAAUCCAUCAUCCAUGGCAUGGGGGCUGGAGCCACAUCAUCUGUAAGGUCUCCACCAACCCAAGUUAUUCUAUGAUCAUCCACUUAUCCGGAAAUUGAUUCCCUUUAGCUAAGGCUAAGGGGAUGUUUAAAUGAGGUAUUUAAAUACACUGCAUUCAAGUCUUCACGUGGACCUUGUAUUUAUAACUUGUCCUUCUAGUGAGAGACCGAUUAUGAAGUUUCACUCGCACGUAACAUGUCCUUUAGCACAGGUUUCUGUUAAGCCAUAGACUAUAGCUGAUGUUCAAUUAGUCUUAAAU
Molecule: long non-coding RNA, 1605 nt
Organism: Phasianus colchicus (ring-necked pheasant)
Lineage: Eukaryota; Metazoa; Chordata; Aves; Galliformes; Phasianidae
Source: Ensembl